This 1053-nucleotide long non-coding RNA is filed under the name Anas platyrhynchos (mallard). RNAcentral's name for it is "lncRNA (ENSAPLG00020013384.1)". Lineage: Eukaryota; Metazoa; Chordata; Aves; Anseriformes; Anatidae. The record is from RNAcentral.
UGGGUAGACAUGAGCAAUCAGAAUCGAUAUAAUGCAUCCUUCAUUUCAGUACCUCCUAGGUCACCCAUCUCUGGCUUCAACAUACAAAACUUGUGUCAGAUACUCUUCAUGGUUAAGGUAUUCCCACAUGGUACAGAGAAGAACUUUCAAAAAGAUUAUGGAAUUUGGGCACCAACAUCAUUUCCAACCAUGAAGGUCUUGCACAGGACGUGGUGAUCAGUCAUCCGUCUCGUGCUGAAAUCUCCUGUUACAUGGAUCUUCUGGCAACUCCAUUUUCUCUUCAUUUUUUCACAAGACAUACGAGAGGAGCCCAGUACCUGCUGCGCUGACACACUGCAACCACAGCACUUCAGCCCUGGGCUGGCAGACAAUUUUGUCUGAAGUGGCUCAAAAGCAGAUGUAUUCAAGUGUGUCUUUUUCUAAGCUGCUUUGAUUAUGACAUCUAUGAAUUUGUUUUCUCCCUGUUAUUAUGCACUAUAAAAUCCCACCGUAUCUUUACUUCCUGUUUUAAAAUGAUUAGAAGUCUAAUGUAUUUUGAUAACAUGAAAUGUGCCAGCUGGGAUGAAAUGAAAUUUUGCUUUGAUUCAAGCAUUUCUCUCUAUUAAUCUUCAUACUAUGUUUUAGAGAUGUCUGUUUGGUUUUAGUUAUAUUUACCUAAGUUGUGCAUAAUAUGUGCUGUGUUUGACUCUCCAUUCACAUCCACAUGUGUAAAUUUAGAAUAACUGCUGCAAAGCCAAGGAAAUUAUACCUUAGAUCCAGUUGUAAGAAGAGGAACUGCAGCUUUGAGCUUGGGUCUUUAAUCACAUUCGCAUCCAGUGGAUUUGCCUUUUAUAUCGACUAGUGCAUUUCACUGACAGAUAUUUAUAAUGUAACGCAGUGAUGUAAGCAGGUGCACAGAACAGAUUACAAAUAGUAGUUGUAGAAUUAAAAAUAAAUCCUCCUGUAGCAAGAAUAUUUCUUUACUUCACAUUCAAUCUCCCAUAUGAUUUUGCUCAGAUUUCUGCUGACAAAACUCUGAGUUUAUAUGUAAAUAUUAGAACAUGUUCAAGAUUA